This 900-nucleotide ribosomal RNA is filed under the name Leptographium yamaokae. RNAcentral describes it as "LSU rRNA". It matches the Rfam family "Eukaryotic large subunit ribosomal RNA", at positions 38 to 964 of the family's 3401-position model. The record is from RNAcentral. Lineage: Eukaryota; Fungi; Ascomycota; Sordariomycetes; Ophiostomatales; Ophiostomataceae.
GCAUAUCAAUAAGCGGAGGAAAAGAAACCAACAGGGAUUGCCCCAGUAACGGCGAGUGAAGCGGCAACAGCUCAGAUUUGGAAUCUGGCCCCCAGGGCCCGAGUUGUAAUCUGGAGAGGAUGCUUCUGGCGCGGCGCCUUCCGAGUUCCCUGGAACGGGACGCCGGAGAGGGUGAGAGCCCCGUACGGUCGGACGCCUAGCCUUUGUGAAGCUCCUUCGACGAGUCGAGUAGUUUGGGAAUGCUGCUCAAAAUGGGAGGUAAAUUUCUUCUAAAGCUAAAUAUUGGCCAGAGACCGAUAGCGCACAAGUAGAGUGAUCGAAAGAUGAAAAGCACUUUGAAAAGAGGGUUAAACAGUACGUGAAAUUGUUGAAAGGGAAGCGCCCGUGGCCAGACUUGUGCCCCGCGGACCACCCGGCGCCCUCAGCGCCGGUGCACUCCGCGGGGCGCAGGCCAGCAUCGGUUUUUCCAGGGGGACAAAGGCGGCGGGAACGUGGCUCCCUCGGGAGUGUUAUAGCCCGCCGCGCCAUGCCCCUGGGGGGACCGAGGACCGCGCUUCGGCAAGGAUGCUGGCGUAAUGGCCACCGGCGACCCGUCUUGAAACACGGACCAAGGAGUCAAGCAUUGGGGCGAGUGUCUGGGUGCCAAACCCGCACGCGAAAUGAAAGUGAACGCAGGUGAGAGCUUCGGCGCAUCAUCGACCGAUCCUGAUGUUCUCGGAUGGAUUUGAGUAAGAGCCUUACCGCUUGGACCCGAAAGAUGGUGAACUAUGCCUGUAUAGGGUGAAGCCAGAGGAAACUCUGGUGGAGGCUCGCAGCGGUUCUGACGUGCAAAUCGAUCGUCAAAUAUGGGCAUGGGGGGCGAAAGACUAAUCGAACCAUCUAGUAGCUGGGUACCGCCGA